UACGUAGGGUGCGAGCGUUAAUCGGAAUUACUGGGCGUAAAGUGUGCGCAGGCGGCCGAGCAAGUCGAGUGUGAAAGCCCCGAGCUUAACUUGGGAACUGCGCUCGAAACUACUUGGCUAGAGUGUGGCAGAGGGAGGUGGAAUUCCACGUGUAGCGGUGAAAUGCGUAGAGAUGUGGAGGAACACCGAUAGCGAAGGCAGCCUCCUGGGCCAACACUGACGCUCAUGCACGAAAGCGUGGGGAGCAAACAGG
Molecule: ribosomal RNA, 253 nt
Filed under: uncultured bacterium
Lineage: Bacteria
Description: partial 16S ribosomal RNA
Rfam family: Bacterial small subunit ribosomal RNA
Source: RNAcentral